Molecule: unclassified non-coding RNA, 278 nt
Filed under: uncultured fungus
Lineage: Eukaryota; Fungi
Description: partial contains 18S rRNA, ITS1, 5.8S rRNA, ITS2 and 28S rRNA
Source: RNAcentral
AAGGAUCAUUACCAAUAUUAUAUGCUGCUACGGAGCUCUCAAGCAGGCAAUCGCCGGAUGUCAUCACCCUUAAGUUACUUAGUCUUGAUGCAUCCACUCCGAGGCGUAGGUCAGCUUCGAUCUUCGAGUAGCCAUUGUAUUAAAACACUUGUAUACUUAUCCCACUUCUUCCGUGAACGCAAGUUCACGGACAUACACAUAACAUUCUGUUUUUACAUUCAUGUCUGAUAAAAAUUAUAAUAAAGUUAAAACUUUCAACAACGGAUCUCUUGGUUCUC